CUUUUUAAGAAUUAAAAAGGAUGUUACAUCACAGGAAAAGCGUGUAAAGCAGGAAGAAGGCAAGGCCAGACCGCUCUUCCUAUGUUGAUAAAGCUAUGAGAAGAGUAGCUUUGACAAUGCUGAAGGUUUGUGUGUUGCUCUUAUUUGCAACCCAGAUUAUUCAAGGUUACACUGCUGUGGAAAACCGGACAAUUGUGGUCUCUUGCCCGAAGCAAAAGGGGAAGUCAGGCUACGUGUUCUGUCAUGGAAAUCAUAGCGAUGUCAGGAGAAACAACUUACUCAGUGAGGAAUGGGAAAUUGAGGGUUUCCCGAUGGCACAUAUCGAUUAUUACCCUUUUGUGAAGAACUUUAACCAGACAGUGGUGAAUAAUGUGACCAUGGGAUGCAUCACGCUUUUGCAAUGUCGGAACGUCAACUUCAAGGCAAUUCUGAAAGCCGGGAGGCUGAUACAGGAGGAGAGGGUGAGCUUUGUCACUGAAGUCAUGCAUCAUCAUGGAGAAGAAUCUGUAGUGUCAAACUUCUGGAUUAUUGGUCUCAUUGUGUCCUUUGUCCUCUCUGGCAUCUUCAUUCUGAUAGUGGUGACAUGCCUGUGUAGGAGAAAAAGGAGGUCAGAAGAGGAGGCUUCAGCUUAUAACCACUACGCUGCCGCCCUACCCUGGGAUGAGGAGCAGCUGUGAAUGUCUUGCACUGGGCUGAAAGAACAUGAAGCUGAACGCCAUGGUGGACAUGUGCAGCCUAACAUAACCAGUGUUUUUCAGCGGGGUAAUAUCCUCCAAAGGGGAUGUGCGAAGGAUUAUAAGGAAAAAAUAGUUAUACAAUAUAGAAAUUUUCCAUUAUGUAAAUUUAUAUGAACAAAGAUAAAUUGUGAAACAUUUAUACAUACUAUUAGAAAUAGUAUUAUAUAACACUUAUAUAUUAAGAAUAUCAUUAAUUUUAUAAUUCAUACAUACAACUAUGCGUGUAUUUUACAAGGUCAGUGACAAUAAGACGUAAUAUACUGCGCUAAAAUAUUAUAUAUUUUUUAUUAGUAUAUACAGUACGAGAGGGGCGCAGUGGUGUGGUGGGUUGGACCAGGUCCUGCUCUCCGGUGGGUCUGGGGUUAGAGUCCCGCUUGGGGUGCCCUGCGGUGGACUGGCGUCCCAUCCUGGGUGUGUCCCCUCCCCCUCUGGCCUUACGCCCUGUGUUGCCGGCUAGGCACCGGUUCCCCAGGACCCCGUAUGGGACAAGCAGUUCAGAAAAUGUGUAUGUGUAUCUAUACAGUACUGUGCAAAAAUUCUAGGCACUUAAGGGAAAAAGCUGUAAAGUGAGAAUGCUUCCAAAAAUAAUUCUCUUAAUUAAUAAACUUCCUACAAAGCUUAGUAACCA
Molecule: long non-coding RNA, 1365 nt
Filed under: Scleropages formosus (Asian bonytongue)
Lineage: Eukaryota; Metazoa; Chordata; Actinopteri; Osteoglossiformes; Osteoglossidae
Description: lncRNA (ENSSFOG00015030721.1)
Source: RNAcentral